UGGGGAAUCUUGCGCAAUGGGCGAAAGCCUGACGCAGCCAUGCCGCGUGAAUGAUGAAGGUCUUAGGAUUGUAAAGUUCUUUCGCUCGUGACGAUGAUGACGGUAACGAGAGAAGAAGCCCCGGCUAACUUCGUGCCAGCAGCCGCGGUAAUACGAAGGGGGCUAGCGUUGUUCGGAAUUACUGGGCGUAAAGCGCGCGUAGGCGGCUUUGCAAGCCAGAGGUGAAAUGCCUGAGCUCAACUUAGGAAUUGCCUUUGGGACUGCGAGGCUUCGAGGACUGGAGAGGUGAGUGGAAUUCCCAGUGUAGAGGUGAAAUUCGUAGAUAUUGGGAAGAACACCAGUGGCGAAGGCGGCUCACUGGCCAGUUUCUGACGCUAAAGUGCGAAAGCGUGGGGAUCAAACAGGAUUAGAUACCCAGGUAGUCCCUGAGCGGGCUGGCAAGGCGCAU
RNAcentral lists this ribosomal RNA (448 nucleotides) under uncultured bacterium. RNAcentral's name for it is "bacterial SSU rRNA". It matches the Rfam family "Bacterial small subunit ribosomal RNA", at positions 355 to 825 of the family's 1533-position model. The record is from RNAcentral.